UUUUUGAAGUUUAACGUAGCAAAAUGUUAAUUAAAAAAUAAAAGAAAACAAAUGGUGAUAAAUAAAAGGAAGUAUUGGACACAAUCUACACGUUCUUCUGCUUCACUCUAACACAUGUGUUGUGUCCAUUCCCUUCUUUGUCUUCUUCUUCCCUCCUCCUUCUUUUUCAAAUUUGAUUCGUUCACUUUCAGAUUCUCUCACCAGACACAAAUUCCAUAUUCACUCCGACAGUGGAAACAUUUUAUCUCUUCCUUUUUCUUUCUCACAUUAUGUUCUUCAC
Molecule: long non-coding RNA, 280 nt
Filed under: Brassica napus (rape)
Lineage: Eukaryota; Viridiplantae; Streptophyta; Magnoliopsida; Brassicales; Brassicaceae
Description: long non-coding RNA (BNAP_LNC005905)
Source: RNAcentral